UUCUUUAAGGCAUUUUUUAAAGUAAAACCUGCUCCAUGUGAAAUAAAUAGCCGCAGUUUACUGUGCUAAGGUAGCGUAAUCAUUAGCUCUAUAAUUAAGAGAUAGAAUGAAAGGUUAAACGAAAUAUUUACUGUCUCCAAAUACCUCCAUUAAAUUAAUUCUGCCAGUCAAAACUCCGGCUUAUCACAACAGGACGACAAGACCCUAAUAAACUUUUACAAUUCGCUGGGGCGGCGAUACAAAAAAACCUUAUUAUAAACCCCUAACAAAUCUUUUAUAAUUAAUCAAGUUACAGUUACUAUAGGGAUAACAGCGUUACUUUUUUUUAAAGUUCAAAUUUAAAAAGAAACCUACGACCUCGAUGUUGAAUUAAUUAUUUCUAUUAAAAGCAAGAUUUUUAAAAGAUAGUCUGUUCGACCAUUAAAAAAUU
Molecule: ribosomal RNA, 430 nt
Filed under: Tupigea nadleri
Lineage: Eukaryota; Metazoa; Arthropoda; Arachnida; Araneae; Pholcidae
Description: partial 16S ribosomal RNA
Rfam family: Bacterial large subunit ribosomal RNA
Source: RNAcentral